Molecule: long non-coding RNA, 1868 nt
Organism: Ictalurus punctatus (channel catfish)
Lineage: Eukaryota; Metazoa; Chordata; Actinopteri; Siluriformes; Ictaluridae
Exons: 3
Source: RefSeq, a predicted model, not a curated record
GUUGCCUUGCAGCCGGAACUACUUUCAGAGCUGGUACUGUGGGAAUUAAUCAACUGAGCAUUCAACGGCGGUGUGCUUAUGAUUCAGUGCCCAUGCUGCUGUCGGCCAUUGCAGACGGAACAACACGGCAGACUCUUAUAAUCAAUAUCAGAGACCAUCGAUGUGCGGCGCUAUGGACUGACCUCAGAAAUACAUCCAGAAUAUUCGUGUUACAGUCAGUCAAUGGUCGCGGGGAACCUGGAGCCUAUCCCAGGGAGCAUCGGGCACAAGGCGGGGUACACCCUGGACAGGGUGCCAAUCCAUCGCAGGGCACACAAUCACAAUCACACACUCACACCCAUUCAUACACUACAGACACUUUAGACACGCCAAUCACCAUGCAUGUCUUUGGACUGGGGGAGGAAACCGGAGUACCCGGAGGAAUCCCCCGCAGCACGGGGAGAACAUGCAAACUCCGCACACACAGAACCGCGGGAAUCAAAACCCCAACCCUGGCGACAUGAGGCGAACAUGCUAACCACUAAGCCACCAUGCGCCUGAUAUGUUGAAGAAGAAAAAAAAGAGAGAGUCUGGUCUUUUAGGUGAUACUACUACUACUACUACUACUACUACUGCAUUUGACUAAAACUCUUUUUAUACAGUUAUAAAAUGACCAUAUCUUUUCAGGUAUAAGACAAGUCUUGAUACUACUACUAUACUACUAAUAAUAAUGCUUUCGACUAAAACUAUUUUUAUACAGUUAUAAAAUGACCAUGUCUCUUUUCUGGUAUAAGACGAGUCUUGAAAUGUCUCUGUAUGGAAGUAUUAUUCUAUGUACUAUACCAGGGGUUCCCAAACUUUUCCAGGGCAAGGCCCCCCAAAUGGCAUUAACAUUUGACCGAGGACCCCCUUUUGCAAGAUGUCUUUAAAACACAUAAAAAAUACAGACUUCUGAAUAUAUCCCCCCCCUUUUUUUUAUUAAUAAUUACUUCUUACAUCUUUACAUUACAUUAGGAAUUGAUUGUAUGUGUGUGGGUGUGUGGUUGUCUGAGUGAGAAUUUAUUUUUCACCCCAAAUUGUUGAGGCCCCCCGGGCGCCUCCUGGUGGCCCCCACUUUGAAAACCACUGUACUAUACUACAAUACACUAGUGAGGUGGCAUUCAUGAACAAUUUCUUAAUUUUGAACGAAUCUUUGAUAUGAUUCGGGCACAACAAGUUGUCUCAGAGAGUGAUUCGUUCAUUUUUGACCACGCAUCCUCAUAGGUUCUGUACAGGAAACGGAAAUGAUUAGUUCAACCUUGAGUCUUCGGGUCCGAGUCGUUUGCUCAUCACAUCACAGCCCCAAUGCAUUCAGAAUAUGGGGCGAUCCCGGGAUGAACGAUCGACUCAAACACGAAGACUUGAGACGUGAACAUUUCUGUUUCUUUUUCUGUGUCUGUUUCUACGUCUGUUCCCCGGAAUCAUUUCUGUUUCCGGGGAGCAGACGUAUCCCAGAUAGCAAAAUUUGUCUGGCUCACUUGUGGGCCACAUACUUGCUUUAGUUCUGGCCCAGUAUAUGCCUGGGUCUCCGGCCCAAAACUGGCCCUCACACUGUAAAGUGACUUAUAUUAUUUUAUGUGGCCCGGGUCUGACCCAGACGCUGUAAGACAGAUCUGGCUGAGAGUCGGCUUGGUCCCCGUGCCAGAUGUGGCCCAGAAACUGCUAAAUAUACUUCAUUUUAACAGGGAAACACAAAUUCAACAACUUAAUAAGAUUAAGGGCUUUUAUUAAACUUUAACAAACACACUCCAAUAUGAACAUUUAUUAACAUACUAUUAAAAACAACAAAAUAACAAAUAAAUAUAUUUACAGUAUAUUUAAAGACAAAAAAAUUAUCUCACACACACCCA